This 29-nucleotide small RNA is filed under the name Bombyx mori (domestic silkworm). RNAcentral describes it as "ovarian small RNA-25063". Lineage: Eukaryota; Metazoa; Arthropoda; Insecta; Lepidoptera; Bombycidae. The record is from RNAcentral.
UCACAUCUGUUAAAGGGCAAUCUUCCUCC